AGGGUUUGAUUCUGGCUCAGAUUGAACGCUGGCGGCAGGCCUAAGACAUGCAAGUCGAGCGAGAAAGUACUUCGGUACGAGUACAGCGGCGGACGGGUGAGUAACGCGUAGGAAUCUACCUAGUAGUGGGGGACAACUCGUGGAAACGCGAGCUAAUACCGCAUACGCCCUACGGGGGAAAGCGGGGGAUCUUCGGACCUCGUGCUAUUAGAUGAGCCUGCGUAAGAUUAGCUAGUUGGUGGGGUAAAGGCCUACCAAGGCGACGAUCUUUAGCUGGUCUGAGAGGAUGAUCAGCCACACCGGGACUGAGACACGGCCCGGACUCCUACGGGAGGCAGCAGUCAGGAAUAUUGCGCAAUGGGCGAAAGCCUGACGCAGCCAUGCCGCGUGUGUGAAGAAGGCCCUAGGGUUGUAAAGCACUUUCAAUUGGGAGGAAAAGCUAAUGGUUAAUAGCCAUUAGCCCUGACGUUACCUUUAGAAGAAGCACCGGCUAACUCCGUGCCAGCC
Molecule: ribosomal RNA, 507 nt
Filed under: uncultured bacterium
Lineage: Bacteria
Description: bacterial SSU rRNA
Rfam family: Bacterial small subunit ribosomal RNA
Source: RNAcentral